AUUGAACGCUGGCGGCAUGCCUUACACAUGCAAGUCGAACGGUAGAGUAGCAGUACUUGAGAGUGGCGAACGGGUGAGUAAUAUAUCGGAACGUGCCCAGUCGUGGGGGAUAACGUAGAGAAAUUUACGCUAAUACCGCAUACGAUCUAAGGAUGAAAGCGGGGGAUUCGCAAGAACCUCGCGCGAUUGGAGCGGCUGAUAUCAGAUUAGGUUGUUGGUGAGGUAAAAGCUCACCAAGCCGACGAUCUGUAGCUGGUUUGGGAGAACGACCAGCCACACUGGGACUGAGACACGGCCCAGACUCCUACGGGAGGCAGCAGUGGGGAAUUUUGGACAAUGGGCGAAAGCCUGAUCCAGCAAUGCCGCGUGCAGGAUGAAGGCCUUCGGUUGUAACUAGCUUUGUUACGGAACGAAACGGUAGGAGGCUCUAAUACAGUUGUCUAAUGACGGUACCGUAAGAAUAAG
This 465-nucleotide ribosomal RNA is filed under the name uncultured bacterium. RNAcentral's name for it is "bacterial SSU rRNA". It matches the Rfam family "Bacterial small subunit ribosomal RNA", at positions 30 to 490 of the family's 1533-position model. The record is from RNAcentral.